AUGGAGUUUCUUUUCAAUGUCCACAUGGAUUCGAUGGGUUUGUGCGCCUUUUGGUACUUCAUACAACCAAAUAAGAAUGUGUAUAUAUCAUCUCAUUGUAUAGAACAACAGACCAUUUUUUUGGCUAAAGAAUAUUUCAUUUACUAUCAUACGUGCUUGCCCAUACAUAUUUCUUUAAAUGAGACUCUAUACUAUCAAGUUCUUUUUGCGAGAAAACUACGACUACAAGAAACUAAAGCGAGCAGAAGGUGCGCCGCCAUCAUUGCCCCUCCCUUGCAGGAGCCGGGCAAAACUUUUGUAGUAGACAGUCGGGAAGUCGUCGUGCUAAGGCCCCAUCGGACCAGCGCAGCAGAACAACAACUGCCGCCGAUGAAGAGUAGUGUAGAUCAGAAGGAUCCAACCUGA
This 405-nucleotide ribosomal RNA is filed under the name Triticum aestivum (bread wheat). Its description in RNAcentral is "partial small subunit ribosomal RNA". The record is from RNAcentral. Lineage: Eukaryota; Viridiplantae; Streptophyta; Magnoliopsida; Poales; Poaceae.